UCGAGCGAACAGACGAGGAGCUUGCUCCUCUGACGUUAGCGGCGGACGGGUGAGUAACACGUGGAUAACCUACCUAUAAGACUGGGAUAACUUCGGGAAACCGGAGCUAAUACCGGAUAACAUGUUGAACCGCAUGGUUCAACAGUGAAAGACGGUCUUGCUGUCACUUAUAGAUGGAUCCGCGCCGCAUUAGCUAGUUGGUAAGGUAACGGCUUACCAAGGCAACGAUGCGUAGCCGACCUGAGAGGGUGAUCGGCCACACUGGAACUGAGACACGGUCCAGACUCCUACGGGAGGCAGCAGUAGGGAAUCUUCCGCAAUGGGCGAAAGCCUGACGGAGCAACGCCGCGUGAGUGAAGAAGGUCUUCGGAUCGUAAAACUCUGUUAUUAGGGAAGAACAAAUGUGUAAGUAACUAUGCACGUCUUGACGGUACCUAAUCAGAAAGCCACGGCUAACUACGUGCCAGCAGCCGCGGUAAUACGUAGGUGGCAAGCGUUAUCCGGAAUUAUUGGGCGUAAAGCGCGCGUAGGCGGUUUUUUAAGUCUGAUGUGAAAGCCCACGGCUCAACCGUGGAGGGUCAUUGGAAACUGGAAAACUUGAGUGCAGAAGAGGAAAGUGGAAUUCCAUGUGUAGCGGUGAAAUGCGCAGAGAUAUGGAGGAACACCAGUGGCGAAGGCGACUUUCUGGUCUGUAACUGACGCUGAUGUGCGAAAGCGUGGGGAUCAAACAGGAUUAGAUACCCUGGUAGUCCACGCCGUAAACGAUGAGUGCUAAGUGUUAGGGGGUUUCCGCCCCUUAGUGCUGCAGCUAACGCAUUAAGCACUCCGCCUGGGGGAGUACGACCGCAAGGUUGAAACUCAAAGGAAUUGACGGGGACCCGCACAAGCGGUGGAGCAUGUGGUUUAAUUUCGAAGCAACGCGAAGACCCUUACCAAAUCUUGACAUCCUCUGACCCCUCUAGAGAUAGAGUUUUCCCCUUCGGGGGACAGAGUGACAGGUGUGCAUGAUGUCGUCAGCUCGUGUCGUGAGAUGUGGUCAGGUCCCGCACGAGC
Molecule: ribosomal RNA, 1053 nt
Filed under: Staphylococcus sp.
Lineage: Bacteria; Bacillati; Bacillota; Bacilli; Caryophanales; Staphylococcaceae
Description: bacterial SSU rRNA
Rfam family: Bacterial small subunit ribosomal RNA
Source: RNAcentral